This is a non-coding RNA of Zootermopsis nevadensis, 448 nucleotides long. The record is from RefSeq and is a predicted model, not a curated record. NCBI's taxonomy places the organism in Eukaryota, Metazoa, Arthropoda, Insecta, Blattodea, Termopsidae.
AAACUAAAAUACGCUGUUCUGGUUGAAGAUCAGGUGCAAUUUGAAAGUGUUCAUGGUGGUCUUCUGAGCUGUGAUACCACUGUUAGCUGGUCUAAUGCAGUUAAUAUGAGUGCUCCGCCAGUGGUAUCAAUGUUUAAGAGGAACAUACUGCACCCAUCUUCAACCUACAAGUCUACAUGGCAUCAUGACCCAGAUCAACGUGGACGUCUUCACCAUUGUGAUGUCCUCAGGUUCCAAAAUUUUAUAUUUUGCCUUCAAAAUGUUUAACAAUUAUUUUUAAAACUCAUCACACAAGGACUUUUAAAGACAUGGACCUCCAGUUUACUGCAUAAUUAACUCAGAUGAGGAAGAUUAAAAAUCUUACUUUCAAAUACUGUGUGAAUUGUAAGUUACGUUUCAUUUUACCUAAAAUUGGCACAGAAUAAAAUAUUUUUGGUGUGAAAAUCAA